Long non-coding RNA from Salvia miltiorrhiza (redroot sage), 634 nucleotides. RefSeq lists it as uncharacterized. The record is from RefSeq and is a predicted model, not a curated record. NCBI's taxonomy places the organism in Eukaryota, Viridiplantae, Streptophyta, Magnoliopsida, Lamiales, Lamiaceae. The transcript has 4 exons.
UCCAUUUUCUUUUGUUUUAUGCUGUCAAAUUCCACUUAGCAAAUCAGCCAAAUCUCUCUUUUGUUUCCACUUUCUUUUGUUUUAUGCUGUCAAAUUCCACCUAACAAAUCAGCCAAGUUCUCCUUCACUCACUUAAUCCACCAAAUUAUUUUCAUCGGCCCCAAGCUCAUUUCACCAGAAAUCAAGUAUUGAGCAAACAAGCAGAAAUCAAAAUACCAACUGAAAUCCUCGCCAAGGCUUUGAGCAUCAGAAGGAUUAGCACUGCUAUUCCGAUUCAGAGAUAAAGUUAAACGACAGGCUUUGCCUAUACAGGUUAAUGGCUGGUGAUGACGGGGCAGAGCUGAGGCUAGGGUUCAACUCCGUAUUUUGUCUUCCGCUAUUGCACUAGCUUUUAUUUGUCUUUUGUUUCUCCAACUUAAGACUUUUAUGUUAAAUUCUGAAUUAUGUUUUUAUCGAGCUUAAACUCUCAACUUCUAGCUUUAUGUUAUUUAACGUUGGUUAUCGGAAGCAUGAAACCGAACUUGUGAUCCUAAGGCUUUGAAUGUUGUUGAUUGAUUAGUAUCACUUGAUUUCUAUCUUUCUUCAUUCAAAGGGCAUUGCCCAACAUUUUUAUUCUAUUAUCUGAAUUUCACAA